RNAcentral lists this transfer RNA (68 nucleotides) under Pachydactylus punctatus. RNAcentral's name for it is "tRNA-Tyr". Lineage: Eukaryota; Metazoa; Chordata; Lepidosauria; Squamata; Gekkonidae. The record is from RNAcentral.
GGUAAUAUGGCCGAGAAUAGGCAGCGGGCUGUAGAUCCGCGCACAGGGCAAGACACCCUUGCUUACCA